GUCGAGAAUAUUUCACAAUGGGGGCAACCCUGAUGGUGCAACGCCGCGUGGAGGAUGAAGGUCUUCGGAUUGUAAACUCCUGUCAUCCGGGAGCAAGACCUGGCCGUGAAUAGCGGACAGGGUUGAUAGUACCGGAAGAGGAAGGGACGGCUAACUUCGUGCCAGCAGCCGCGGUAAUACGAAGGUCCCGAGCGUUGUUCGGAAUCACUGGGCGUAAAGGGAGCGUAGGCGGCGCGGUAAGUCAGAUGUGAAAUCCUAGGGCUCAACCCUGGAACUGCAUCCGAUACUGCUGUGCUUGAGCAAUGGAGAGGUAGCCGGAAUUCUCGGUGUAGCAGUGAAAUGCGUAGAUAUCGAGAGGAACACUCGUGGCGAAAGCGGGCUACUGGACAUUUGCUGACGCUGAGGCUCGAAGGCCGGGGGAGCGAAAGGGAUUAGAAACCCCGGUAGUCC
Molecule: ribosomal RNA, 450 nt
Filed under: uncultured bacterium
Lineage: Bacteria
Description: partial 16S ribosomal RNA
Rfam family: Bacterial small subunit ribosomal RNA
Source: RNAcentral